UCACACAAAAAUUGAUCAUUUGAAGGAAGAAAACAGAAGACUGAGUGCUGUAGCAGAGCAGGCUGAAUACUUUGCAUCAGUCGUUAAGAUGCUGACAGAAGAUGAUGAUAAGCAGGAUGAAGACAAAAACGAUGAAGAUGGAAAUGAAACGAAAGCAAAAGUAACUGAUAAUGAUGAUGGAGUUUUUGAAUUGGAAGCCGGAAUGAAGGACGACGUGAAGUCAGACUCUGAAAGCACUGAUACUGAUACAACCAGUGAUCCAUAAAUCUUUUGUGGUAUUGUAAAGCGUCAAGAAACUCAGGGAAAUUCAUGUACAUGGUCUUGUCAUAAAGAUUUGGAUGUAAAGUCCAGAUUUUUUUCCUGCAGAAACCUUUCUAAAAGGGGCAGUGAAAUUAAAGCAUGGUCACAAAUUUCGGCUGUUUUAUUUUUGUGUUCAGGGUCAAUUAGGGACUAGCACAGAAUAUUUCAAAGUCUCUGAACAUCUAAAAUCUUGUUUCAGAUGUAUUAUCCAAGUUAAUACUGCCACUUACUCAUUUUGAAAUUAUAGGAUAGAUUGAAACAGUAACUGACCUGCAAAAACAUAUCGUCUGUAUUUUUUAGCCAUUUUAAAUUCUGUGAUAUUUUUUUAUUUAUUGACUGAUUUCCCCCACGAGUGCCAUUUCACUCUCCUGAGGGUUAAAUUUCAGAAUCAUAUGGUCCAUUGAGACCAGUCAAACCUCUCCAAAGCUCAGUGAUCUUCACAUGGUCUAAGGCCGAGUGGGUGAAUUGAAUUGUUGGACAAUAUGUAUUGUAUGGCCAAAUACUGUCCAGUCUAAAAUGAUAAGUGUAGUGUAUGGCACAGAACAAAAGUGUCUUAUUUGCUUAUGUUUUUCUGUCGGCUUGUCUUAUGGUGUCCUUGUAAUGAGGAAAGUCAUGUUCAAAAUCACCAGACAAAUGUAGCUUGUCAAAAUGGUAAGCAAAAUUCGAGAUCUUGAAAAUGUAUUUCUUCUGUACGUAGAGCUGAACUGUUGGUCGACAUUUCACCAAGAUCUCAAUGCCACUUUUAAAUGUAUCCAAGGAGUGGACCUGAUUGAUAUUUUUAUAAUAAAUGUACAUAAUGAUAA
Lineus longissimus is the source of this 1103-nucleotide long non-coding RNA. RefSeq lists it as uncharacterized. The transcript is spliced from 2 exons. Lineage: Eukaryota; Metazoa; Nemertea; Pilidiophora; Heteronemertea; Lineidae. The record is from RefSeq and is a predicted model, not a curated record.